Molecule: ribosomal RNA, 265 nt
Filed under: uncultured bacterium
Lineage: Bacteria
Description: partial 16S ribosomal RNA
Rfam family: Bacterial small subunit ribosomal RNA
Source: RNAcentral
GCAAGUCGAGCGAGACGGUCGAGAUGGAUUCUUCGGAUGAAGUGUUGACUAGAAAGCGGCGGACGGGUGAGUAACACGUGGGUAACCUGCCCCAUAUACAAGGAUAGCCAUUGUAAACGAUGAUUAAUACCUGAUAAAACAGUUGAAUCACAUGAUUUGACUGUCAAAGAUUUAUCGGUAUGGGAUGGACCCGCGUCUGAUUAGCUAGUUGGUAAGGUAACGGCUUACCAAGGCGACGAUCAGUAGCCGACCUGAGAGGGUGAUC